This 402-nucleotide ribosomal RNA is filed under the name uncultured Reyranella sp. RNAcentral describes it as "bacterial SSU rRNA". It matches the Rfam family "Bacterial small subunit ribosomal RNA", at positions 355 to 774 of the family's 1533-position model. Lineage: Bacteria; Pseudomonadati; Pseudomonadota; Alphaproteobacteria; Hyphomicrobiales; Reyranellaceae. The record is from RNAcentral.
UGGGGAAUAUUGGACAAUGGGGGCAACCCUGAUCCAGCCAUGCCGCGUGAGUGAUGAAGGCCUUCGGGUUGUAAAGCUCUUUUGGCGGGGACGAUGAUGACGGUACCCGCAGAAUAAGCCCCGGCUAACUUCGUGCCAGCAGCCGCGGUAAGACGAAGGGGGCUAGCGUUGUUCGGAAUUACUGGGCGUAAAGCGAGUGUAGGCGGUUGUCAUAGUCAGGCGUGAAAGCCUUGAGCUCAACUCAAGAAAUGCGCUUGAUACUGGGCGACUAGAGGACCGGAGAGGAUAGUGGAAUUCCCAGUGUAGUGGUGAAAUACGUAGAGAUUGGGAAGAACACCAGUGGCGAAGGCGGCUAUCUGGACGGUUACUGACGCUAAGACUCGAAAGCGUGGGGAGCAAACA